RNAcentral lists this long non-coding RNA (244 nucleotides) under Elaeis guineensis (African oil palm). Its description in RNAcentral is "long non-coding RNA (EGUI_LNC079963)". The record is from RNAcentral. Lineage: Eukaryota; Viridiplantae; Streptophyta; Magnoliopsida; Arecales; Arecaceae.
AGUAGCCGCAGCAACCGCAGGCAUCAGUGCGGCUGGAAAGAGCAUCGUCGGAGUUUCAGAAUCCGAUGAUCGAGCAGGCCACUUGGGCCAGUCACCCUGUCUUCCCCAGAAAGGGAGAGUAGAAGGCGGAGAGCCCUCCAUCCGAUCAUGAUUCCACCCCCGAAGAGUCCCUACCUCUGUUCCACUAGAAGACCCUCAAGACUCACAGUGGAGAGAACCUCCUGGAUCAAAGAUUCCAGAAGAU